RNAcentral lists this ribosomal RNA (1188 nucleotides) under uncultured bacterium. RNAcentral's name for it is "bacterial SSU rRNA". It matches the Rfam family "Bacterial small subunit ribosomal RNA", at positions 59 to 1170 of the family's 1533-position model. The record is from RNAcentral.
AAGUCGAACGAGAACGUCACUUCUGUGGCGAGUAGGGUGGCGCACGGGUGAGUACCGGGCUUAAGAUCUACCCUUCCGUCUGGAACAACUCUUGAAAACGGGAUCUUUCCCCGGAUAAAACCUUCCGCCUGAAAGAUUUAUCGCUGGGGCAUGAUUCUGCGUACCAUUAGCUUGGUGUUGGGGUAACGGCCUACCAAGGCGACGAUGGUUAGCGGAUUCUGAAAGGACAAUCCGCCACACUGGAACUGACUCCCGGUCCAGACUCCUACGGGAGGCAUUGGAAAAUGAAUAUUGCGCAUGGUCGGCAACCCUGACGCAGCAGUGCCGCGUGAGUGAAGAAGGCCUUCGGGUCGUAAAGCUCUUUUAUGGGGAAAGAUGAUGACGAUACCCCGUGAAUAUUCACCGCCUAACUACGGGCCAUCAGCCGCGAUAAUACGUAGGUCGCAAGCGUUGUUCUUAAUUACUGGGCGUAAGGGUCAUGCAGGCGGAUUGGAAAGCCGGAGGUGAAAGCCCGGGGCUCACCCCCGGAGGUUCUUUCGGAACUGCCAGUCUUGAAAGGGAAUUUCUAGUGUAGAAUUUCUAGUGUAGAGAUGAAAUUCGAAUAUAUUAUUGCGAAUACCACUUGCUGAAUCAUCUUUCUGGAUCAUUACUGACACUGAGGAACGAAAGCAUGAUUAGCGAACAUCAUAAUAUACGCUCGAAGUCAAUGCCGUAAACGAUGUGAGAUAUACGUUCAAAGUUUAUUUUCAGUGUCUCAGCACAAGCGAUGAACACACCGACUGGGGAGUACAACUCAAGGUAAUGCUCAAAUGACUUGACGGUAACGCACACUGGGAGUGAAUCAUGUGAUUUACUUCGAAGAUACGCGCAAAUCUUAUGAUCAUUUGAAAUGUACGACAUGACUCUAUGAGAUUAGAGUGUUCGAAUCGCCGUACUAAACACAUGUGCUGCAUGCUGUCGUCAGAUCUUGUCGGAGACGUUCGACUAACGUCACGCAUCGAUCUCAGUCGUCACUUUAGUGCAUCAUUAGAUGACUGUCAUGGAUACUGCAGGAAGAGCUGAAGAAGUAGGUCAUGAGUCAGUACUGUGCUUACCGGUGCUCUACGCAUGCUACAUGAUCUAGACUGGGAGAUAGCAGGCCAGUUAAGAAACUCUUUACAGAAUGCUCCUUGUCGGAAUGCAGCUCUU